GGAGACUGCGCACGUCCGCGUGUGGGGCGGGGGAGGUGGCAGAAGCGGAGGAAAGAGGACGGAGGGGACGAGCUCCGGGAGGAAAAUGAGGCUGUGGCGUGUGGGAGCCCGGAGCGCAAAAUAGGCUGGUGCUGGAGCGAGAACAGGAAGGGGUGUGUGUGUGUGUGUGUGUGUGUGUGUGUGUGUGUGUGAUGUGUGUGUUUCCCUUUUUAGAUCUUUUCAUUCAGGAGGCGUCUCCGUGGAGACUGAGGAGGUGCUAGGAGUCCCCUGGGGUGCUGUCAGCGCCGCUUGCUGAGUUUCUGCGGAAGAGUGAAAUACGAGGGAGCUAGUGAGCGAAGAGGAGUGGAGAAAUUGCCAGCAGCCACACUGCCGUGGUCCCACAAGGCACAAACCCCACCCCCUUCUGUGCCGAUCCCACAAGGCUACAGGCUCAGCACGCCCCUUCUCCAUCACAGCCAAGAUUCCAGAAUGACCACUGGUAUGCUGCAGCCUCAUGUGGAGAUGCUGCGACACCUCUGGGAUUCCCAAAGAAAAGGACAGGAAGGUGUGCAGUACUAAAGUCCCACCCUGACCUCACUCUGAAUAUUCACUCGGGCCACUGGCCCUUUCCCUAUGUGGGACAACCUCGACUUUUAUGCCGCUCUUUUUCCAGGAGAGACGUGUGUGUACUCGUGUCUGAGUGUGUCCUAACUUUUAAAUAAACUCUGCUUUUCUGUA
Non-coding RNA from Oryctolagus cuniculus (rabbit), 717 nucleotides. The record is from RefSeq and is a predicted model, not a curated record. NCBI's taxonomy places the organism in Eukaryota, Metazoa, Chordata, Mammalia, Lagomorpha, Leporidae.